RNAcentral lists this ribosomal RNA (492 nucleotides) under uncultured bacterium. Its description in RNAcentral is "partial 16S ribosomal RNA". It matches the Rfam family "Bacterial small subunit ribosomal RNA", at positions 29 to 507 of the family's 1533-position model. The record is from RNAcentral.
AGUGAACGCUGGCGGUAGGUCUAACACAUGCAAGUCGAACGGCAGCACAGUAAGAGCUUGCUCUUACGGGUGGCGAGUGGCGGACGGGUGAGGAAUACAUCGGAAUCUACUUUUUCGUGGGGGAUAACGUAGGGAAACUUACGCUAAUACCGCAUACGACCUACGGUUGAAAGCAGGGGAUCUUCGGACCUUGCGCGAUUGAAUGAGCCGAUGUCGGAUUAGCUAGUUGGCGGGGUAAAGGCCCACCAAGGCGACGAUCCGUAGCUGGUCUGAGAGGAUGAUCAGCCACACUGGAACUGAGACACGGUCCAGACUCCUACGGGAGGCAGCAGUGGGGAAUAUUGGACAAUGGGCGCAAGCCUGAUCCAGCCAUACCGCGUGGGUGAAGAAGGCCUUCGGGUUGUAAAGCCCUUUUGUUGGGAAAGAAAAGCAGCAGGUUAAUACCCCGCUGUUCUGACGGUACCCAAAGAAUAAGCACCGGCUAACUUCGUG